GCUCCAAUAGCGUAUAUUAAAGUUGUUGCAGUUAAAAAGCUCGUAGUUGGAUUUCUGGGGCAGACGUUGGUCCGUGGCUUAUGUCAUGUGUACCUUUUUGUUCUGUCUCAUCCUCGUAGUGAGUGUUACUGGCAUUCAGUUGUCGGUAGCAGGAGCUGCGUCGUUUACUGUGAAAAAUUAGAGUGUUUAAAGCAGGCUUA
This 200-nucleotide ribosomal RNA is filed under the name uncultured eukaryote. Its description in RNAcentral is "partial 18S ribosomal RNA". It matches the Rfam family "Eukaryotic small subunit ribosomal RNA", at positions 588 to 788 of the family's 1831-position model. The record is from RNAcentral.